UGGGGAAUAUUGGACAAUGGGGGCAACCCUGAUCCAGCAAUGCCGCGUGUGUGAAGAAGGCCUGCGGGUUGUAAAGCACUUUCGUUGGGGAGGAGAGGCUCGAGUCGAAUAGGCGAGAGCGGAGACGUUACCCAAAGAAGAAGCACCGGCUAACUCUGUGCCAGCAGCCGCGGUAAUACAGAGGGUGCAAGCGUUAAUCGGAAUUACUGGGCGUAAAGGGCGCGUAGGUGGAAUAAUAAGUUGGAUGUGAAAUCCCCGGGCUUAACCUGGGAACGCCAUCCAAAACUGUUAAUCUAGAGUAUAGUAGAGGGAAGUGGAAUUUCCGGUGUAGCGGUGAAAUGCGUAGAUAUCGGAAGGAACACCAGUGGCGAAGGCGGCUUCCUGGACUAAUACUGACACU
This 400-nucleotide ribosomal RNA is filed under the name uncultured bacterium. Its description in RNAcentral is "bacterial SSU rRNA". It matches the Rfam family "Bacterial small subunit ribosomal RNA", at positions 355 to 747 of the family's 1533-position model. The record is from RNAcentral.